This is a non-coding RNA of Plectropomus leopardus (leopard coralgrouper), 304 nucleotides long. Lineage: Eukaryota; Metazoa; Chordata; Actinopteri; Perciformes; Serranidae. The record is from RefSeq and is a predicted model, not a curated record.
AUUUAUGUGGUGAUUGUCCUGCUGAAAAAAAAACAGCUCGACCAGCUUAAAGCGGUUAAACUGGUUGACCAGCUUGUUUGAUCAGCUCAAGGCAGUUUUUGCCAGAAUAGCUGGAAUUGCAAUUUUCUCUGCAGGACUCGACCAUUGAAUCAGGCGUCCACUGAAGGGAUCUGCAUGCACAUUUGCAUUUGUAGAAGCCAAUAGGAACGGCCUCUCUCUGGCAGACAGAGACGACACAAGCAGGAAGAUGAUGCCAGCCCCCACGGCGCCCAUGACCACCCCGAAUGCGAUGAGCCACGGAGGG